This 481-nucleotide ribosomal RNA is filed under the name uncultured bacterium. RNAcentral describes it as "SSU rRNA". It matches the Rfam family "Bacterial small subunit ribosomal RNA", at positions 26 to 518 of the family's 1533-position model. The record is from RNAcentral.
AGGACGAACGCUGGCGGCGUGCCUAACACAUGCAAGUCGAACGAGGUCCAACCGGUGGCAACACUGGUGAAGACCGAGUGGCGAACGGGUGAGUAACACGUGAGCAACCUGCCUCGAAGACUGGGAUAACCCCGGGAAACCGGAGCUAAUACCGGAUACCCCCACCGGGUCGCAUGGCCUGGUGAGGAAAUGGAUUCCGCUUUGAGAGGGGCUCGCGGCCUAUCAGCUUGAUGGUGGGGUAAUGGCCUACCAUGGCACCGACGGGUAGCUGGUCUGAGAGGACGAUCAGCCACACUGGGACUGAGACACGGCCCAGACUCCUACGGGAGGCAGCAGUGGGGAAUCUUGCACAAUGGACGAAAGUCUGAUGCAGCAACGCCGCGUGGGGGAUGAAGCUUUUCGGAGUGUAAACUGCUUUUCUCGGGAAGAGCAAGGACGGUACCCGAGGAAUCAGCCCGGCUAACUACGUGCCAGCAGCCGC